CCGGCGACCGGCGCACGGGUGAGUAACACGUAUGCAACCUGCCCUCCGCAGGGGGAUAACCCGGAGAAAUCCGGACUAAUACCGCGUGGUACAUCUGUGGGGCAUCCCACGGGUGUUAAAAGGAAGCGAUUCCGGCGGAGGAUGGGCAUGCGGCGCAUUAGCUGGUUGGCGGGGUAACGGCCCACCAAGGCGACGAUGCGUAGGGGUUCUGAGAGGAAGGUCCCCCACACUGGUACUGAGACACGGACCAGACUCCUACGGAAGGCAGCAG
RNAcentral lists this ribosomal RNA (271 nucleotides) under uncultured bacterium. Its description in RNAcentral is "partial 16S ribosomal RNA". It matches the Rfam family "Bacterial small subunit ribosomal RNA", at positions 88 to 354 of the family's 1533-position model. The record is from RNAcentral.